Molecule: ribosomal RNA, 253 nt
Filed under: uncultured bacterium
Lineage: Bacteria
Description: partial 16S ribosomal RNA
Rfam family: Bacterial small subunit ribosomal RNA
Source: RNAcentral
UACGUAGGGGGCUAGCGUUGUCCGGAUUUAUUGGGCGUAAAGAGCGUGUAGGCGGUCCGGUAAGUCCGCUGUGAAAGUCCAGGGCUCAACCCUGGAAUGCCGGUGGAUACUGCCGGGCUAGAGUCCGGAAGAGGCGAGUGGAAUUCCUGGUGUAGCGGUGAAAUGCGCAGAUAUCAGGAAGAACACCCGUGGCUAAGGCGGCUCUCUAGUACGGUACUGACGCUGAGACGCGAAAGCGUGGGGAGCGAACAGG